CCUACGGGAGGCAGCAGUGGGGAAUAUUGGUCAAUGGGCGAAAGCCUGAACCAGCCAUGCCGCGUGAGUGAUGAAGGCCUUAGGGUUGUAAAGCUCUUUCGGCGGGGAAGAUAAUGACGGUACCCGCAGAAGAAGCCCCGGCUAACUUCGUGCCAGCAGCCGCGGUAAUACGAAGGGGGCUAGCGUUGUUCGGAAUCACUGGGCGUAAAGCGCGCGUAGGCGGAUUGUUAAGUCAGGGGUGAAAUCCCGAGGCUCAACCUCGGAACUGCCUUUGAUACUGGCAAUCUCGAGUCCGGAAGAGGUGAGUGGAACUCCUAGUGUAGAGGUGAAAUUCGUAGAUAUUAGGAAGAACACCAGUGGCGAAGGCGGCUCACUGGUCCGGCACUGACGCUGAUGCGCGAAAGCGUGGGGAGCAAACAGGAUUAGAUACCCCAGUAGUC
This 440-nucleotide ribosomal RNA is filed under the name uncultured bacterium. Its description in RNAcentral is "bacterial SSU rRNA". It matches the Rfam family "Bacterial small subunit ribosomal RNA", at positions 338 to 795 of the family's 1533-position model. The record is from RNAcentral.